Molecule: long non-coding RNA, 1835 nt
Filed under: Cucumis sativus (cucumber)
Lineage: Eukaryota; Viridiplantae; Streptophyta; Magnoliopsida; Cucurbitales; Cucurbitaceae
Description: long non-coding RNA (CSAT_LNC001633)
Source: RNAcentral
UACCCUCAUCGUAAACGUCGGUAUGGAGAUUGGUACUGGAGUGAUCUACGUUUAUAUGAAAGAGCACGUUUCUAUUCUAAUCUCGAUGCUUGUUUUACUUGGUAUCUUGAGUUUUUCUGCUUCAGUUGUUCCAUCAACUAAGAGCUACCUGGAAAUGAAGUAUUGCGUAAGACAUGAAUUAGCAUCAAAAGAGUGUGCAGCAAAUGGAAAAGGAGACAAACCAGUCAUCGAAAGACUCAAAGUGGAUUUGAUGAAAUAUUGGAUGAUGUCUCAAACAACCAGCCCCCAGUUUGUGAUGGGCCGAUCCGCCACAUGUACUGCUUCUGGGGCAAUCAGUCUUCUUAGCGCUGCAAUUUUAGCAGAGGCUAUUCUUACAUCCUACUUGAUGAAGAGAUCAUUGAAGUUCUGCAACGGCCAGUCUGAUUAUAAAUGGUCAAUCACUUUUAUCCUCGUUAUACAGUGCGUAGCAGUUGUAGUGGGGACUGUCGCCCCGGCAAUCAGAUGGUUUACAGCUAUAAAAUUCAGGUGUCCAAACCUGAGAAAUGGAGGUUACAAGAAGGAAUUCAAAUUAGAAUACUACUGGAUUCGAUAUCUAGUAGAGAUGAAAGAGUCUCCAUUAACUAUCAGAGUUAAAAAUAGAAGAUGCAGAAAGCUUGCUCAUAAUGCAAGAAACACAUUUCUGGAUGCAUGUAUCAUCCUACAAACAGUAAUAGUGUUCAUAAGCAAAGUGAUUCGACUUAUUUCCAUUUUCUUUUUCAGAGGAAUCUUCUCAUGCUGUGACCUUUUCAAGAGUUUGAAAAACAGGCUGUGGUUUAACAGCACCAUUCCUCUCAGCAAUUCAGGGUCAGAAGAUGAUGCUGAUUCGAAGCUAGAUCUAAGUCGUUUCGUUCUGUAUCUUGAAGGUGAAGAUGAUCUGGUUCACGUGAUGGUAACAAAUAAUUAUCAUGCCGUACAUCAUUGGAUUCAGAAAGGGAAGAAGAAAAAACCUAAGAUUCUCAUUCACCUAUUGGAAGGAACGAUCAUAUCACGAGGUUUCAGGGGAGUGGCAGAGUUUGAUAACCAUCAAGUUCCAUGUCUAGAUUCCAAAGAGCCCCAAAAUUGCUGGGCGCUUCCUGUGGUGACAUUAACAGCCAUAGCAAUUUCUCUUCCAAAUAUAAGACGUCAUUUAAUCAAACAUUUGGUGACCGCAGUAAAUGAAGGCCUCCGAUACAUAAGACUCAUCGAAGAUUGCUUCGACAUGGAAGGGAAUUUCAUAAACCUAAAAAAAGCAGCAGAAAUGGUUUGGCUAGGAAUUGAUCUCCACAAUCAAUGGCUAGACAUAGACCUCCACAAAAUUUCACAUCAUAAAGAAACCCCAAACGAAGUUUUCCAACAGUUUUCAGAUGAAGCAAAGAAAAUGUACACAGAGGAGAAGACUACUAAUCAACAUCUAUGCUUGAAACUAAGUACUUCAAAAUGGCCAAUCAAGAUAUUGGCUACGAACUGUAUGUACAGAAUAAGCGAAUCGAUGCUGCUGAAGUACGAAAAGAAAUACAGGUAUACAAACGAACAAUUGUUCUUAGAAAUGGAAGCAAUGAUUUCUGGCAUAAUGGGAGCGUGCAUGACAAAUUUGGAGAAAGUGAUAUCAACAAAAUGUGCAAACUUUGUGAUUGAAAAACGAGAGAGGAGCGUGAGAGAAGCCGCUUACAUUCUGGGGAAAACAGGGAGGAUUUUGGAUCUCAUAGAAAAGACGACGGUUCCACCACUUGAUGAACAUCAAAUGAGGAGCAUUGAUGAAUGGCGAUUGGCUUACAAGCUGGAGAUGUAGCAUUCGUGGAAGGUGAAGGGGGCGGCAU